AAAAUUGGCCUUGAUUAAUCUCUUUGUUCAUUUGUGUCAACCUCUCAUUCAUGUCAGCACAACUUAAUCCUUUUAACAACACUUAAUUUGUUUCUUUUCACAAUUGUGACAUGGGGAAUUAUAUAUAGGUUUAAAUAUAAAUGAGAUUCUUUUAUAUAUAUUUACUUUUUAUUUUGAGUUUUUUAUAAUAAAAAAUUAUUAUUCUAAGAUAUUGAUAUAUAUACCUAAUUAAGUCACAACAUAAUUUUAUCUCAACC
Molecule: long non-coding RNA, 257 nt
Filed under: Glycine max (soybean)
Lineage: Eukaryota; Viridiplantae; Streptophyta; Magnoliopsida; Fabales; Fabaceae
Description: long non-coding RNA (GMAX_LNC000329)
Source: RNAcentral